This 395-nucleotide ribosomal RNA is filed under the name uncultured bacterium. RNAcentral's name for it is "partial 16S ribosomal RNA". It matches the Rfam family "Bacterial small subunit ribosomal RNA", at positions 338 to 730 of the family's 1533-position model. The record is from RNAcentral.
CCUACGGGGGGCUGCAGUGAGGAAUAUUGGUCAAUGGGCGUAAGCCUGAACCAGCCAAGUCGCGUGAGGGAUGACGGUUCUAUGGAUCGUAAACCUCUUUUAUAAGGGAAUAAAAUGUGCGACGUGUCCUAUUUUGUAUGUACCUUAUGAAUAAGCAUCGGCUAACUCCGUGCCAGCCGCCGCGGUAAUACGGAGGAUCCGAGCGUUAUCCGGAUUUCUUGGGUUUAAAGGGUGCGUAGGCGGCAGUUUAAGUCAGCGGGGAAAGUCUGUGGGUCAACCAUAGAAUUGCCGUUGAAAAUGGGGGGCUUGAGUAUGCGUGAGGCAGGCGGAAUGCGGGGUGUAGCGGUGAAAUGCAGAGAUAUCACGCAGAACCCCGAUUGCGAAGGCAGCAGGCC